AGUGUGAAGGCCAAGUUGACGACUUUGCCGGAUUCGCCGAGAGGUGGUGCAUGGCCGCCGUCAGCUCGUAUCGUGAGACGUCCUGUCAAGUCAGGUAACGAGCGAGACCCUCACCCUUAGUUGCCAUCGGAUCCCGCAAGGGAUGCCGGGAACUCUAAGGGGACCGCUGUCGAUAAGACAGAGGAGGGAGAGGGCGACGGUAGGUCCGUAUGCCCCGAAUCCCCCGGGCAACACGCGGGCUACAAUGCGUAGGGCAGAGGGCUGCGAUCCCGAAAGGGAGAGCUAAUCCCUAAACCUGCGCUUAGUUCGGAUCGAGGGCUGCAACCCGCCCUCGUGAAGCCUGGAAUCCCUAGUAAUCGCGUGUACGAUUGU
This 372-nucleotide ribosomal RNA is filed under the name uncultured candidate division MSBL1 archaeon. RNAcentral's name for it is "bacterial SSU rRNA". It matches the Rfam family "Archaeal small subunit ribosomal RNA", at positions 944 to 1314 of the family's 1478-position model. The record is from RNAcentral. Lineage: Archaea; Methanobacteriati; Methanobacteriota.